This 253-nucleotide ribosomal RNA is filed under the name uncultured bacterium. RNAcentral describes it as "partial 16S ribosomal RNA". It matches the Rfam family "Bacterial small subunit ribosomal RNA", at positions 524 to 776 of the family's 1533-position model. The record is from RNAcentral.
UACAGGGGGGGCAAGCGUUGUUCGGAAUUACUGGGCGUAAAGGGCUCGUAGGCGGCUAACUAAGUCACACGUGAAAUCCCCAGGCUUAACCUGGGAACUGCGUGUGAUACUGGAUGGCUUGAAUCCGGGAGAGGGAUGCGGAAUUCCAGGUGUAGCGGUGAAAUGCGUAGAUAUCUGGAGGAACACCGGUGGCGAAGGCGGCAUCCUGGACCGGUAUUGACGCUGAUGAGCGAAAGCCAGGGGAGCAAACGGG